AUCUGGGCGGCGGAAUUCAGGAUGGCGGACGUGCCGUUCGCGCGGCGCGUUCGUCGUUUGAUAUUUCCGUCGCCGAUGAACAAUGCAGACGUCGCGACCUGUUCGCGGUCGGUCCCUGCUCGGAGGAGCCGCGUUCGAGUUCGUUGCGGGGCGCGUUUACGCGCGUUUCGCGGCGAAGGCGCGGAAAUCUGGCUGACCGGCGGACAGUACGCUCGAACGGGUGUCCGGUGUUCGUCGUCUCGUACGCGCGACUCCGGUACCGGUCGGCGACGAAUUCUUCGGGCCUCUUUCCGACCCGUCUUGAAACACGGACCAAGGAGUCUAACAUGCGCGCGAGUCGCGGGGUGUCGAGCGUACCGCCGGUACGUUCGUUACGUUGCGAAACCCGUACAUAUCGAAGGCGUAAUGAAAGUGAACAGGGAAGAUGGUGUUCCGAGUACACGUUCCGCGAUCGUCGGUAUCGCGGCCGGACAUCCGCAUUCCCGGGGCGUCUCAGCGGCCCGUCGCGAAUGCGGACGGUCGUCUCUUUGGGGGCGGCCGUCGGUCCGCGACGAACCGA
RNAcentral lists this ribosomal RNA (559 nucleotides) under Maskellia globosa. RNAcentral describes it as "partial 28S ribosomal RNA". Lineage: Eukaryota; Metazoa; Arthropoda; Insecta; Hemiptera; Diaspididae. The record is from RNAcentral.